UCUUUCUCUAUCUCUCUCUUUCUCACUUAUUCGCUCACUUACUCUUUCUCACGCAUCUACACGUACGCGGGUACAUUAUAUAACAUACACGCGGUCUGUCCUCUCUUGAUCUGUGUGCCUGCUUGUUGUGUUGUCUAUCUCCCUCGGGUUUAGGUUCGGGCUCGAGUGAAUCAAAAUAACGAAGAGAAUGUGCCGUUGAUGAUCGGUGGAAAAAAAAGGGUGGUGGUACUUGCUAAAUAUCAUCGGAUCCUUUGGUGCUCUCGAUAAUCAGUCCGAAAUAUAGUUUUGUGUAUCGAUGCACGCGAGAUUUCUCGUAUAGAUCGUCCCGCCUUUCUACACCGAUGCUGGAUAUCAGUGAUUUAAAUUAUGUGUGAAUUCGACGUAAGGAAACGCAAUCGUUUUGUGAAUUUUCGGUCUCGCCCUCGAGUUUAUUGUGUCAGUGAAAUUUUUUUUCGGUGUUUUCCAUUUGGUUGACACGAUGUAACCUAUAUUGACGAAUUCUCAAUAUAUUCAUAAUUGUUCCUUCUUUUGAUUUUUAUAAAUAUUGCACGAUUGCUCGAGCUUUCGUUGCGAUGUUUUUCUUAAAAAGUAGUCGUUCUCAGUCGAUAAACAAUUCGUUCAGUUUUUAUCGAUCGAGAUAUUAAAUUUUUUUUAUAUUUCACCGUUUUUUUUAUUUCUUGUCAAAUUCAAUUUCAUUUUGUAACAAAUUGUUUUUGAUAUGUUCUAACUCUUCAAGAUACAAUUAAAAAUUCGUCAAUUCCUCUUUUUUAUUUUCGCCACUCAAAUUAAGUUAUGUUUUUUUCCAACCUGUGUCAUCGGGCUUCUUACCACGCCUAACGGUUCUUCAUCAAAAUUCUAACAUCGAAACCAGUGAUUAUUCUACAUUUUAAUACUUUUUGUUCCGUUAAUUAAUUGAUAAAAAACUUUUAAAUAUUAAAUAAAACGUAACAUGAUGAACAGAAAAAAAGAACAAAAUCAAAGGUGUAUUCUAUAAUUAAGAAGUUAAUGAAUUUUGUCCAAGUGGCUAACUGUUAUGUGUGAACACGCUAAAGAAGUAAUCGGUCCACAACACACCGGCUGAAAUGUACCAUCGACUGUGAUAUAUCCCGUGUGAUAUCCUUCGAGGAAGAAUGCAACUUCGUACAAGAUUCGAUCGAUGAAAAAUAGAAUUCUCUGCCCGUCAUCAUGUUCACGAGGGCCAAGAUGCCGGUGACUGGUGAUGGGACUUUUAUUAACCGCGGUGUAAUGAGAAAUGUGACAUGUUGUCGUUAAGCAACAAUGAGCACCGGGGAGCACGCAUCAGCGAAAAAAUCAUCGUAAGUACUCAAAAUGAUUUCUCUCUGUUUGGCUACACAUUGCGGCGUGCUUGAGUAUGCUUGCUUGAUCAUCCCAGAGCAUAUUAGCAUCGAUGAUGGCAACGGCAGCCUGGAUACUGGUAUGGAUCAUAUGGCCGACCACGCGCCAUCAACGAGAUCAGUGAAAAGGGUAUGCAGUUGACGCAUCCCUCUGUUCCUUAAAGACUGGAAAUAAGCGUCCAGAGGAGCCGUUUUUUUCAACCGUCGUUUUACAUGCGUACGUGCGUGUGUACGCGCGUGUUUCAUUCGCUAGCUUGCAUGCGAAAAGUGCGAGGAAGGACCUGCAGAGAGAACGGA
RNAcentral lists this long non-coding RNA (1652 nucleotides) under Apis mellifera (honey bee). RNAcentral describes it as "uncharacterized LOC113218923, transcript variant X1". The record is from RNAcentral. Lineage: Eukaryota; Metazoa; Arthropoda; Insecta; Hymenoptera; Apidae.